Molecule: ribosomal RNA, 245 nt
Filed under: uncultured bacterium
Lineage: Bacteria
Description: partial small subunit ribosomal RNA
Rfam family: Bacterial small subunit ribosomal RNA
Source: RNAcentral
AGAAUCAACGCUGGCGGCGUGCCUAACACAUGCAAGUCGCACGAGAAAGGGGAGCAAUCCCUGAGUAAAGUGGCGCACGGGUGAGUAACACGUGAAUCAUCUACCUCCGAGUGGGGAAUAACCUAGAGAAAUCUGGGCUAAUACCGUAUAACACUUACGAGUCAAAGCAGCAAUGCGCUUGGAGAGGAGUUCGCGGCCGAUUAGUUAGUUGGCGGGGUAAUGGCCCACCAAGACGAUGAUCGGUA